UACGGAGGGUGCGAGCGUUGUCCGGAAUCAUUGGGCGUAAAGGGCGCGUAGGUGGCGGGACAAGCGUGCGGUGAAAGCCUGGGGCUCAACCCCGGGUCGGCCGUGCGAACUGUUUUGCUUGAGCACUGUAGAGGCAGGCGGAAUUCCGGGUGUAGCGGUGGAAUGCGUAGAGAUCCGAAAGAACACCGGUGGCGAAGGCGGCCUGCUGGGCAGUAGCUGACACUGAGGCGCGACAGCGUGGGGAGCAAACAGG
Molecule: ribosomal RNA, 253 nt
Filed under: uncultured bacterium
Lineage: Bacteria
Description: partial 16S ribosomal RNA
Rfam family: Bacterial small subunit ribosomal RNA
Source: RNAcentral